GGGAGGGUGAGUCGCGGACAGGACGCAGAGAGGCGCCGGGUCAACGCGCCAGGUAGCAACGCCUCAGGACACCCGUCGACGUCGUCCUUGCCGUCGUCCUUGCCGUCGUCCCUGCCGUUGUCCUUGUCGCAGCCUUCGAGGCCGACUUGGCCGUCGUCAUCGUUCGCGGCCAGGACGCGUACGAUUUCACACAAACACGCAUACACACGUUCGCUCGCUCACUCACUCACUCACUCACUCAUACUCACAUUUACACUUAUAUACGCUGACAAAAAAAACAUACAACACGCGUUACACUAAUAUACAUACAUACAUACAUAUACAUACACGCACACGCUUACAUACAUAUACAUAUACAUAUACAUGUACACGCGCGUGAUACAUCGUACUUAGUAGAAACUUACACAACACGUACGCGACAAUCGGCAAAAAUUAUUUAACUUAAAACACUUAUACAUACUAACAUCACACUCGCGCGCAACAUACAAAAGAAAAAGCCUCGCACGCGUUAACGUAGGGAAUCGACGGCGAACAUGAGGUCCUUGCACGCAGCCUCCUGGAGCUUCGCCCUUCUCGCGGCCACGGUGGCACUGCUGCCUGCCACGCAUUGGGCACCCUUCGCCCACGCUGCAACCGGCGGCGGUAGUAUGCUGGGAGAUGUCAACAUCUCAGCAAUACUGGACUCCUUUUCUGUUCGUUACGAUAAAAGAGUAAGGCCGAACUACGGAGGUGAGUAAGGACGAUCGAUUGCCUCUCCUGCUUUAAUUAAAAAAAAAAAAAAAAAAAAUAAAAAAA
RNAcentral lists this long non-coding RNA (795 nucleotides) under Polistes fuscatus (common paper wasp). RNAcentral describes it as "uncharacterized LOC122514327". The record is from RNAcentral. Lineage: Eukaryota; Metazoa; Arthropoda; Insecta; Hymenoptera; Vespidae.